Molecule: long non-coding RNA, 7161 nt
Filed under: Oncorhynchus mykiss (rainbow trout)
Lineage: Eukaryota; Metazoa; Chordata; Actinopteri; Salmoniformes; Salmonidae
Description: lncRNA (ENSOMYG00000063294.1)
Source: RNAcentral
AACCCUGAUCUGUUCACCGGACGUGCUACCUUUUCCUGGACCUGCGGUUUCUUCCUCUCUCUCGGUUUCUUCCUGUCUCUCGGUUUCUUCCUCUCUCUGUUUCCUCCUCUCUCUCGGUUUCUUUCUCUCUCUCGGUUUCUUCCUCUCUCUCGGUUUUCGUCCUCUCUCUUGGUUUUCCUCCUCUCUCAGUUUCUUCCUCUCUCUCGGUUUUCCUCCUCUCUCAGUUUCUUCCUCUCUCUCUGUUUCCUCCUCUCUCUCAGUUUCCUCCUCUCCCGGUUUCCUCCUCUCUCUCAGUUUCUUCCUCUGUCUCGGUUUCCCCCUCUCUCUCGGUUUCUUCCUCUCUCUCGGUUUCCUCCUCUCUCUCGGUUUCCUCCUCUCUCUCGGUUUCUUCCUCUCUCUCGGUUUUCGUCCUCUCUCUUGGUUUUCCUCCUCUCUCAGUUUCCUCCUCUCUCCCGGUUUCCUCCUCUCUCUCAGUUUCUUCCUCUGUCUCGGUUUCCCCCUCUCUCUCGGUUUCUUCCUCUCUCUCGGUUUCCUCCUCUCUCUCGGUUUCCUCCUCUCUCUCGGUUUCUUCCUCUCUCUCGGUUUCCUCCUCUCACUCGGUUUCCUCCUCUCUUAGUUUCUUCCUCUCUCCCGGUUUCCUCCUCUCUCAGUUUCCUCCUCUCUCCCGGUUUCCUCCUCUCUCUCGGUUUCCUCCUCUCUCCCGGUUUCUUCCUCUCUCUCGGUUUCUUCCUCUCUCUCGGUUUCCUCCUCUCUCUCGGUUUCCUCCUCUCUCGGUUUCUUCCUCUCUCUCGGUUUCCUCCUCUCUCUCGGUUUCCUCCUCUCACUCUGUUUCUUCUUCUCUCUCUGUUCCCUCCUCUCUCUCGGUUUCCUCCUCUCUCUCUCUCUCUCCCGGUUUCUUCCUCUCUCUCGGUUUCCUCCUCUUUCUCGGUUUCUUCCUCUCUCUUGGUUUCCUCCUCUCUCCCGGUUUCCUCCUCUCUCCCGGUUUCUGCCUCUCUCCCGGUUUCUGCCUCUCUCUCGGUUUCUUCCUCUCUCAGUUUCUUCCUCUCUCUCGGUUUCCUCUUCUGUUUCUUCCUCUCUCUCGGUUUCCUCCUCUCACUCGGUUUCCUCCUCUCUCUCUGUUUCCUCCUCUCUCUCUGUUUCUUCCUCUCUCUCGGUUUCUUCCUCUCUCUCGGUUUCCUCCUCUCUCAGUUUCUUCCUCACUCUCGGUUUCCUCCUCUCUCUCGGUUUCUUCCUCUCUCUCGGUUUCCUCCUCUCUCUCGGUUUCCUCCUCUCUCUCGGUUUCUUCCUCUCUCUCGGUUUCCUCCUCUCUUCCGGUUUCUUCCUCUCGCUCAGUUUCCUCCUCUCUCCCGGUUUCUUCCUGUCUAUCGGUUUCUUCCUCUCUCUCAGUUUCUUCCUCUCUCUCGGUUUCCUCCUCUCUCAGUUUCUUCCUCUCUCUCGGCUUCCUCCUCUCUGUUACUUCCUCUCUCCCGGUUUCCUCCUCUCUCUCAGCUUCUUCCUCUGUCUCGGUUUCCCCCUCUCUCUCGGUUUCUUCCUCUCUCUCGGUUUCUUCCUCUCUCCCGGUUUCCUCCUCUCUCUCAGUUUCUUCCUCUGUCUCGGUUUCCCCCUCUCUCUCGGUUUCUUCCUAUCUCUCGGUUGCCUCCUCUCUCUCGGUUUCCUCCUCUCACUCUGUUUCUUCCUCUCUCCCGGUUUCUUCCUCUCUCUCGGUUUCCUCCUCUCUCCCGGUUUCUUCCUCUCUCUCGGUUUCCUCCUCUUUCUCGGUUUCUUCCUCUCUCUUGGUUUCCUCCUCUCUCCCGGUUUCCUCCUCUCUCCCGGUUUCUGCCUCUCUCUCGGUUUCUUCCACUCUCAGUUUCUUCCUCUCUCUCGGUUUCCUCCUCUGUUUCUUCCUCUCUCUCGGUUUCCUCCUCUCACUCGGUUUCCUCCUCUCUCUCUGUUUCCUCCUCUCUCUCUGUUUCUUCCUCUCUCUCGGUUUCUUCCCCUCUCUCGGUUUCCUCCUCUCUCAGUUUCUUCCUCACUCUCGGUUUCCUCCUCUCUCUGGGUUUCCUCCUCUCUCUCGGUUUCUUCCUCUCUCUCGGUUUCCUCCUCUCUCUCGGUUUCCUCCUCUCUCUCGGUUUCCUCCUCUCUCUCGGUUUCUUCCUCUCUCUCUGUUUCCUCCUCUCUCUCGGUUUCUUCCUCUCUCUCGGUUUCCUCCUCUCUUCUGUUUUCUUCCUCUCUCGGUUUCCUCCUCUCUCUGUUUCUUCCUCUCUCUCGGUUUCUUCCUCUCUCUUGGUUUCCUCCUCUCUCUGUUUCUUCCUCUCUCUCGGUUUCCUCCUCUCUCUCGGUUUCCUCCUCUCUCUCGGUUUCCUCCUCUCUCUCGGUUUCUUCCUCUCUCUCGGUUUCCUCCUCUCUCUCGGUUUCCUCCUCUCUCUCGGUUUCUUCGUCCUCUCUCUCGGUUUUCUCCUCUCUCUCGGUUUCCUCCUCUCUCAGUUUCUUCUCUCUCGGUUUCCUCCUCUCUCUCGGUUUCCUCCUCUCUUAGUUUCUUCCUCUCUCUCGGUUUCCUCCUCUCUCAGUUUCUUCCUCUGUCUCGGUUUCCCCCUCUCUCUCGGUUUCUUCCUCUCUCUCGGUUUCCUCCUCUGUCCGUUUCCUCCUCUCACUCUGUUUCUUCCUCUCUCUCUGUUUCUUCCUCUCUCUCGGUUUCCUCCUCUCUCGGUUUCCUCCUCUCUCUCGGUUGCCUCCUCUCUCUCGGUUUCCUCCUCUCUCAGUUUCUUCUUCUCUCUCGGUUUCCUCCUCUCUCUCGGUUUCCUCCUCUAUCUCGGGUUUCUCCUCUCUCUCGGUUUCCUCCUCUCUCAGUUUCUUCUCUCUCGGUUUCCUCCUCUCUCUCAGUUUCCUCCUCUCUGUUUCCUCCUCUCUCUCGGUUUCCUCCUCUCUCAGUUUCUUCCUCUCUCUCGGUUUCCCCCUCUCUCUCGGUUUCCCCCUCUCUCUCGGUUUUCUCCUCUCUCUCGGUUUCCCCCUCUCUCUCGGUUUCUGCCUCUCUCUCGGUUUCUUCCUCUCUCAGUUUCUUCCUCUCUCUCGGUUUCCUCCUCUGUUUCUUCCUCUCUCUCGGUUUCCUCCUCUCACUCUGUUUCCUCCUCUCUCUCUGUUUCCUCCUCUCUCUCUGUUUCUUCCUCUCUCUCGGUUUCCUCCUCUCUCAGUUUCUUCCUCACUCUCGGUUUCCUCCUCUCUCUCGGUUUCUUCCUCUCUCUCGGUUUCCUCCUCUGUUUCUUCCUCUCUCUCGGUUUCCUCCUCUCUCUCGGUUUCUUCCUCUCUCUCGGUUUCCUCCUCUCUUCCGGUUUCUUCCUCUUUCUCAGUUUCCUCCUCUCUCCCGGUUUCUUCCUCUCUCUCGGUUUCUUCCUCUUUCUCAGUUUCCUCCUCUCUCAGUUUCUUCCUCUCUCUCGGCUUCCUCCUCUCUGUUACUUCCUCUCUCCCGGUUUCCUCCUCUCUCUCAGUUUCUUCCUCUGUCUCGGUUUCCCCCUCUCUCUCGGUUUCUUCCUCUCUCUCGGUUUCUUCCUCUCUCCCGGUUUCCUCCUCUCCCUCAGUUUCUUCCUCUGUCUCGGUUUCCCCCUCUCUCUCGGUUUCCUCCUCUCUCUGUUUCUUCCUCUCUCUCGGUUUCCUCCUCUCUCUCGGUUUCCUCCUCUCUCUCGGUUUCUUCCUCUCUCUCGGUUUCCUCCUCUCUUCCGGUUUCUUCCUCUCGCUCAGUUUCCUCCUCUCUCCCGGUUUCUUCCUGUCUAUCGGUUUCUUCCUCUCUCUCAGUUUCUUCCUCUCUCUCGGUUUCCUCCUCUCUCAGUUUCUUCCUCUCUCUCGGCUUCCUCCUCUCGGUUUCUUCCUCUCUCCCGGUUUCCUCCUCUCCCUCAGUUUCUUCCUCUGUCUCGGUUUCCCCCUCUCUCUCGGUUUCCUCCUCUCUCUGUUUCUUCCUCUCUCUCGGUUUCCUCCUCUCUCUCGGUUUCCUCCUCUCUCUCGGUUUCUUCCUCUCUCUCGGUUUCCUCCUCUCUUCCGGUUUCUUCCUCUCGCUCAGUUUCCUCCUCUGUCUCGGUUUCCCCCUCUCUCUCGGUUUCUUCCUCUCUCUCGGUUUCUUCCUCUCUCCCGGUUUCCUCCUCUCUCUCAGUUUCUUCCUCUGUCUCGGUUUCCCCCUCUCUCUCGGUUUCUUCCUCUCUCUCGGUUGCCUCCUCUCUCUCGGUUUCCUCCUCUCACUCUGUUUCUUCCUCUCUCCCGGUUUCUUCCUCUCUCUCGGUUUCCUCCUCUCUCCCGGUUUCUUCCUCUCUCUCGGUUUCCUCCUCUUUCUCGGUUUCUUCCUCUCUCUUGGUUUCCUCCUCUCUCCCGGUUUCCUCCUCUCUCCCGGUUUCUGCCUCUCUCUCGGUUUCUUCCUCUCUCAGUUUCUUCCUCUCUCUCGGUUUCCUCCUCUGUUUCUUCCUCUCUCUCGGUUUCCUCCUCUCACUCGGUUUCCUCCUCUCUCUCUGUUGCCUCCUCUCUCUCUGUUUCUUCCUCUCUCUCGGUUUCUUCCUCUCUCUCGGUUUCCUCCUCUCUCAGUUUCUUCCUCACUCUCGGUUUCCUCCUCUCUCUGGGUUUCCUCCUCUCUCUCGGUUUCUUCCUCUCUCUCGGUUUCCUCCUCUCUCUCGGUUUCCUCCUCUCUCCCGGUUUCCUCCUCUCUCUCGGUUUCUUCCUCUCUCUCUGUUUCCUCCUCUCUCUCGGUUUCUUCCUCUCUCUCGGUUUCUUCCUCUCUCUCGGUUUCCUCCUCUCUUCUGUUUUCUUCCUCUCUCGGUUUCCUCCUCUCUCUGUUUCUUCCUCUCUCUCGGUUUCUUCCUCUCUCUCGGUUUCCUCCUCUCUCUGUUUCUUCCUCUCUCUCGGUUUCCUCCUCUCUCUCGGUUUCCUCCUCUCUCUCGGUUUCCUCCUCUCUCUCGGUUUCUUCCUCUCUCUCGGUUUCCUCCUCUCUCUCGGUUUCCUCCUCUCUCUCGGUUUCUUCGUCCUCUCUCUCGGUUUUCUCCUCUCUCUCGGUUUCCUCCUCUCUCAGUUUCUUCUCUCUCGGUUUCCUCCUCUCUCUCGGUUUCCUCCUCUCUUAGUUUCUUCCUCUCUCUCGGUUUCCUCCUCUCUCAGUUUCUUCCUCUGUCUCGGUUUCCCCCCCUCUCUCGGUUUCUUCCUCUCUCUCGGUUUCCUCCUCUGUCCGUUUCCUCCUCUCACUCUGUUUCUUCCUCUCUCUCUGUUUCUUCCUCUCUCUCGGUUUCCUCCUCUCUCGGUUUCCUCCUCUCUCUCGGUUGCCUCCUCUCUCUCGGUUUCCUCCUCUCUCAGUUUCUUCUUCUCUCUCGGUUUCCUCCUCUCUCUCGGUUUCCUCCUCUAUCUCGGGUUUCUCCUCUCUCUCGGUUUCCUCCUCUCUCAGUUUCUUCUCUCUCGGUUUCCUCCUCUCUCUCAGUUUCCUCCUCUCUGUUUCCUCCUCUCUCUCGGUUUCCUCCUCUCUCAGUUUCUUCCUCUCUCUCGGUUUCCCCCUCUCUCUCGGUUUCCCCCUCUCUCUCGGUUUUCUCCUCUCUCUCGGUUUCCCCCUCUCUCUCGGUUUCUGCCUCUCUCUCGGUUUCUUCCUCUCUCAGUUUCUUCCUCUCUCUCGGUUUCCUCCUCUGUUUCUUCCUCUCUCUCGGUUUCCUCCUCUCACUCGGUUUCCUCCUCUCUCUCUGUUUCCUCCUCUCUCUCUGUUUCUUCCUCUCUCUCGGUUUCCUCCUCUCUCAGUUUCUUCCUCACUCUCGGUUUCCUCCUCUCUCUCGGUUUCUUCCUCUCUCUCGGUUUCCUCCUCUGUUUCUUCCUCUCUCUCGGUUUCCUCCUCUCUCUCGGUUUCUUCCUCUCUCUCGGUUUCCUCCUCUCUUCCGGUUUCUUCCUCUUUCUCAGUUUCCUCCUCUCUCCCGGUUUCUUCCUCUCUCUCGGUUUCUUCCUCUUUCUCAGUUUCCUCCUCUCUCAGUUUCUUCCUCUCUCUCGGCUUCCUCCUCUCUGUUACUUCCUCUCUCCCGGUUUCCUCCUCUCUCUCAGUUUCUUCCUCUGUCUCGGUUUCCCCCUCUCUCUCGGUUUCUUCCUCUCUCUCGGUUUCUUCCUCUCUCCCGGUUUCCUCCUCUCCCUCAGUUUCUUCCUCUCUCUCGGUUUCUUCCUCUCUCUCGGUUUCCUCCUCUCUCUCGGUUUCCUCCUCUCACUCUGUUUCUUCCUCUCUCCCGGUUUCUUCCUCUCUCUCGGUUUCCUCCUCUCCCGGUUUCUUCCUCUCUCUCGGUUUCCUCCUCUUUCUCUGUUACUUCCUCUCUCUCGGUUUCCUCCUCUCUCUCGGUUUCCUCCUCUCUCUCUGUUUCUUCCUCUCUCUCGGUUUCUUCCUCUCUCUCGGUUUCCUCCUCUCUCUGUUUCUUCCUCUCUCGGUUUCCUCCUCUCUCUCGGUUUCCUCCUCUCUCUCGGUUUCCUCCUCUCUCUCUGUUUCUUCCUCUCUCUCGGUUUCCUCCUCUCUCUCGAUUUCCUCCUCUCUCUCGGUUUCUUCCUCCUCUCUCUCGGUUUUCUCCUCUCUCUCGGUUUCCUCCUCUCUCAGUUUCUUCUCUCUCGGUUUCCUCCUCUCUCUCGGUUUCCUCCUCUCUUAGUUUCUUCCUCUCUCUCUGUUUCCUCCUCUCUCAGUUUCUUCCUCUGUCUCGGUUUCCCCCUCUCUCUCGGUUUCUUCCUCUCUCUCGGUUUCCUCCUCUAUCUCGGUUUCCUCCUCUCUCGGUUUCCUCCUCUCUCUCGGUUGCCUCCUCUCUCUCGGUUUCCUCCUCUCUCAGUUUCUUCUUCUCUCUCGGUUUCCUCCUCUCUCUCUGUUUCUUCCUCUCUCUCGGUUUCCUCCUCUCUCUCGAUUUCCUCCUCUCUCUCGGUUUCUUCCUCCUCUCUCUCGGUUUUCUCCUCUCUCUCGGUUUCCUCCUCUCUCAGUUUCUUCUCUCUCGGUUUCCUCCUCUCUCUCGGUUUCCUCCUCUCUUAGUUUCUUCCUCUCUCUCUGUUUCCUCCUCUCUCAGUUUCUUCCUCUGUCUCGGUUUCCCCCUCUCUCUCGGUUUCUUCCUCUCUCUCGGUUUCCUCCUCUCUCUCGGUUUCCUCCUCUCUCGGUUUCCUCCUCUCUCUCGGUUGCCUCCUCUCUCUCGGUUUCCUCCUCUCUCAGUUUCUUCUUCUCUCUAG